UACGAAGGGGGCUAGCGUUGCUCGGAAUCACUGGGCGUAAAGCGCACGUAGGCGGAUUGCUAAGUCAGGGGUGAAAUCCUGGAGCUCAACUCCAGAACUGCCUUUGAUACUGGCGGUCUCGAGUCCGGGAGAGGUGAGUGGAACUGCGAGUGUAGAGGUGAAAUUCGUAGAUAUUCGCAAGAACACCAGUGGCGAAGGCGGCUCACUGGCCCGGAACUGACGCUGAGACGCGAAGGCGUGGGGAGCAAACAGG
Molecule: ribosomal RNA, 253 nt
Filed under: uncultured bacterium
Lineage: Bacteria
Description: partial 16S ribosomal RNA
Rfam family: Bacterial small subunit ribosomal RNA
Source: RNAcentral